Molecule: ribosomal RNA, 359 nt
Filed under: uncultured bacterium
Lineage: Bacteria
Description: bacterial SSU rRNA
Rfam family: Bacterial small subunit ribosomal RNA
Source: RNAcentral
GACGAACGCUGGCGGCGUGCCUAAUUACAUGCAAGUCGAGCGAGCUUGCCUAGAUGAUUUUAGUGCUUGCACUAAAUAGAAACUAGAUACAAGCGAGCGGCGGACGGGUGAGUAACACGUGGGUAACCGUUGCCCAACGAGACUGGGAGUAACACCCUGGAAACAAGAUGCUAAUACCGGAUAACAACACUAGACGCAUGUCUAGAGUUUGUAAAAUAGGUUCUGCUAUCACUCUUGGAUGGACCUGCGGUGCAUUAGCUAGUUGGUAAGGUAACGGCUUACCAAGGCAAUGAUGCAUAGCCGAGUUGAGAGACUGAUCGGCCACAUUGGGACUGAGACACGGCCCAAACUCCUACGGG